UACGUAGGGAGCAAGCGUUGUCCGGAAUCAUUGGGCGUAAAGCGCGCGUAGGCGGCCCUGUAAGUCCGCUGUGAAAGUCAAAGGCUCAACCUUUGAAAGCCGGUGGAUACUGCAGGGCUAGAGUCCGGAAGAGGCGAGUGGAAUUCCUGGUGUAGCGGUGGAAUGCGCAGAUAUCAGGAAGAACACCCGUGGCUAAGGCGGCUCUCUAGUACGGUACUGACGCUGAGACGCGAAAGCGUGGGGAGCGAACAGG
RNAcentral lists this ribosomal RNA (253 nucleotides) under uncultured bacterium. RNAcentral's name for it is "partial 16S ribosomal RNA". It matches the Rfam family "Bacterial small subunit ribosomal RNA", at positions 524 to 776 of the family's 1533-position model. The record is from RNAcentral.